GGGACGGAUCAGGUCGAAAUCAGGAUAAGUGGAGUUCCAGAGGCCAUCCCAUCUCGUGUAUUUCGCCUUUAUGAGGAAGUCGCCAUAAGCUUUACUGCACUGGAGCUAAAAGAAGGCGACCAAGUCCUCUUUACCUAUUCAGAAAAUAGUCAAAAUGAAGAUGUUAUUACUGAAAUAGUGAAAAUCGUCAAUUAGAAUAAAAAGCUUAAUUAAGUAGCUCGUCCGCUUACCGCGAGCCUGUAGGGGUAAGUCCGGGCGCCGACUAAUCAGGCCACCGAUCCCACGGUUUGUACAGCCAAAGGGGUAGGGAAUAACAAUUGUGCUAGCGUAACGGUAUCUUGUCUCAGUGAGCCCGCUGCGCGAAAUCAAACCUGAGGCUACACUCGUAGAAGCUUUUGCUGGUCUGCUUUCGGACAGGGGUUCGACUCCCCUCGCCUCCACCA
Molecule: transfer-messenger RNA, 443 nt
Filed under: Bacillota bacterium
Lineage: Bacteria; Bacillati; Bacillota
Rfam family: transfer-messenger RNA
About the family: Bacterial tmRNA, also known as 10Sa RNA or SsrA, is named for its dual tRNA and mRNA-like properties.
Source: RNAcentral